UGCGACUUGGUUUUUGUUGUCAUUGUGCGGGAACCCUGUGGUGUCACACGCCAAGUCAUCCGCGCAACUCCCAGGCCCUACUCGGUGUUUUAUGUGUUUUUAACCGCCUCUAUUUAGUGCUUGAAAGUAGUUCGUAUGUUCACAGAAAAAAAAGGCAGCUUGAAAAUAGUAUUUAAUGAGAAAAUAUGCGGAUUCAAAUGGGCUAAAGUCUUUGAGGAACCGUUUUGUCUGAAGUACGAGCCGAUAGUAAAAUCCCGAGUGUUCGUCAAUCCCGCCAGUCGCGGCAGCAAAAAGAGGACUAGGAGAGGAUCUACACUACCAUUCUACUAAUAUUCAUUCACGUCACGUCUAUAUCUAUGUAAGGAGACCCUGAGAAGUAAGGGCCUUUGGAUAUUGAUGUCUGUUUUCAUCUAUAAAAACCAUUCACUUGUGCCAACCAGUGUCUUGCUAGCAGAAAGUCGACAUGUUCGCAGUUUACAACCAUAAAGCGAACACAACUAAGGGCGACAAACAAAAAAGUGACAAAAAAAAACAUUGCCAUGGUAAAACCAACCAAGGACUACCUGAGGGCCAUGAUUGAUGCUGAGAGGCAUGAGAGUAGGCAAAUUUCUUAAAGAUAAUUAUAGUAGGGGAUUUCUUACUUUGAUAAAGCAAUAUAAGUGUUAUAUGUUUUUUCUAUAAACCUAAA
Nematostella vectensis (starlet sea anemone) is the source of this 688-nucleotide long non-coding RNA. RefSeq lists it as uncharacterized. The record is from RefSeq and is a predicted model, not a curated record. The transcript has 2 exons. Lineage: Eukaryota; Metazoa; Cnidaria; Anthozoa; Actiniaria; Edwardsiidae.